RNAcentral lists this ribosomal RNA (465 nucleotides) under uncultured Aeromonas sp. RNAcentral describes it as "bacterial SSU rRNA". It matches the Rfam family "Bacterial small subunit ribosomal RNA", at positions 338 to 795 of the family's 1533-position model. The record is from RNAcentral. Lineage: Bacteria; Pseudomonadati; Pseudomonadota; Gammaproteobacteria; Aeromonadales; Aeromonadaceae.
CCUACGGGCGGCUGCAGUGGGGAAUAUUGCACAAUGGGGGAAAGCCUGAUGCAGCCAUGCCGCGUGUGUGAAGAAGGCCUUCGGGUUGUAAAGCACUUUCAGCGAGGAGGAAAGGUUGACGCCUAGUCCGUGUCAACUGUGACGUUAAUCGCAGAAAAAGCACCGGCUAACUCCGUGCCAGCAGCCGCGGUAAUACGGAGGGUGCAAGCGUUAAUCGGAAUUAUUGGGCGUAAAGCGCGCGCAGGCGGUUGGAUAAGUUAGAUGUGAAAGCCCCGGGCUCAACCUGGGAAUUGCAUUUAAAACUGUCCAGCUAGAGUCCUGUAGAGGGGGGUAGAAUUCCAGGUGUAGCGGUGAAAUGCGUAGAGAUCUGGAGGAAUACCGGUGGCGAAGGCGGCUCCCUGGACAAAGACUGACGCUCAGGUGCGAAAGCGUGGGGAGCAAACAGGAUUAGAUACCCGAGUAGUC